ACACAAUUAGCUUAAUGGUAAAGUUUAUUGCUUACAACAAUACUUUUAUUGGUUCGAUUCCGAUGUUGUGGA
RNAcentral lists this transfer RNA (72 nucleotides) under Chrysotila carterae. Its description in RNAcentral is "tRNA-Val". It matches the Rfam family "tRNA". Rfam says of the family: Transfer RNA (tRNA) molecules are approximately 80 nucleotides in length. Their secondary structure includes four short double-helical elements and three loops (D, anti-codon, and T loops). The record is from RNAcentral. Lineage: Eukaryota; Haptophyta; Isochrysidales; Isochrysidaceae.